RNA transcript from Pyrus x bretschneideri (Chinese white pear), 2948 nucleotides. RefSeq lists it as uncharacterized. The transcript has 3 exons. The record is from RefSeq and is a predicted model, not a curated record. Lineage: Eukaryota; Viridiplantae; Streptophyta; Magnoliopsida; Rosales; Rosaceae.
GAGUCACCUCGUCUGGCUUGGUUCAAAUCUCACUUCACCAUUUCUCACCAGUCGUCGUCUUCUCCACCUGCUUCCGCCACCGAAAUUCAAAACCCAGAACCAGAUCAUCACUAUGGCCACUCCUCCCGCCGUAAUUUCUGAUGUGACCAUGACCCAAAUCGAAGAAGAAGAAGCCCCUCAACAAGAUAACCCUAAUUCCGAACCACCACAUUCCCAAUCCAAAACCGUAACCCUAGAACCCCAUCAAGACCAAGAAAUUCAACUAAACCCGCCUCUUCAAUCGGAGCCAAACCCUAAACCCAAAUCCGAUGACAUUCCCGCCCGAUCUCCUCGUGGCACCACUACCACCACCAUUACCUUCUACCGCCGCGGAACGAAGCGAAACAAGUCCGGUUCAAAGCGAAAAGCCGCCAGUUCGGGGAACAGAAAGGCCCAGCAGAAGGCCCAGCAGAAACUUCAGACCCAGAGAGAAACCCUAAAUCCAAUUCCAUUCGUGCCCUCAAAAAAUCUCGACUUUGAGAAGCACGAGAAACUCCUGAAGUGGCUCAACUUGUGGGACUUCGUCCACAUCGAGUUCGAUCGGAAUCUUCGGGUUGAUCUUCUCGCCCAGUUGAUUUCCAAUUUCAACCCUAACCUGAGGGGCAGCUACGUCAAUGGGUCCAAGGUUAUGGUCAACCGGGCCGACUUGGCACGGGCCUUGAAGCUUCCUUCAAAACAGGUGAAGAAGGGUGGUGCUGUGGCACUACCGGAUGGUGCUGAGGAGCCUCCGGCGGAGGCUGCUUCGGAGGAGUCCAUAGCUUUUAUAGAAGAAUUGGUAUCAAAUUGGGUGCUUUUGCACGAGGAUACGUGGAUGAUGCCAAGCGAGGUGUUGAAUUGGACUAAGGCAAUCAAAGAGGGGCAGUUUGUGAAGGUGGAUUGGGCUGGUUUGAUUUGGUUCAUGGUGGAGAAGGAGUUGGUUCAGGCGCCCAAAUUGGGGGAUUGCUACUAUGCAUCGCAUUUGCAGUGUUUGAUAAAAUCGCAGCGUGAGGAUUUCUUUAUGGUGAAAGAACAAGAGACUCCCCUGGUUGAUGUUGAUGCUGAUGCUGUUGAUGUUGAUGCUGUUGAUGUCGAUGCAGUUGAUGUCGAUGCAAAAGAGGAAGAAGAGGAAGAGGAAGAGGAUGGUGGCGGGGAUGUGAUAAUGGGCGGGGAGGAUGAUUUACAGGGACCCAGCGGAUUGGAAGAACAUAACAUUGAAUUAUGUCUUGGCCAAGAUAAUGUGGAUACAGAUGAUCUUAAGCAAGAGCAAGACAAUGUGGAGAAAACUGAUGUUAGGCAAGAGCUAGACAUUGUGGAUAUAGCUGAUGUUGGGCAGGACAGUGUGGAUAGAACUGAUGUUGGGCAAGAAAACGUCGAGAAAGCUGGUGUUGAGAAGGAGCAAGUUGGGGUUGAGGAUGUAAUGGGUUUUGAAGAAUGUAAGGUGGAAGAGCCUGGCCAUUGGCUUUUGGAUGGGAAGAGCAGUGCAGAUGAACCUUUUUUGCAGCGGUGUAAUCUUGGUGUAGUUAAUUUGGGUUGUGAGGAGGAAGGGAAAAAAGAUAUGGAGUUUGUUGAAGGAAUAGAUGAAGGAAACGAAGAGGAAGAAGAAGAGGACGAGGAGGAGGAAGAGCAGGAGGAGGGAGGUUUUCACCUUUCACUUAAGGAUAUGCCUUUAGAGGGCUUUCAUGCAAUGGAAGCAGCACAUAACCCUCAUAGUUCAGAUAUGUCAAUGCGUGAUCAAUUUGCUGGGGAGUUUCUUUCUUCAAGGGACGAUAGUCGAAUGCUUCCUGGUAGUUGCUCAUUCUUUGGAAGUGGUGGUCUUAAGAGAGAGUUUGUCCAUGAAAAUGCUAACUCUUCUCAUCAUCCUCUCAAUGGUAAUAAGCGGUUGAGGAUGGGUGGCCCUUGGGAUGGUAAGGUCUCAGGUGGUGAAUUUGAUACAUGUUUGGAGCAAGUGCAGCACUGGAUGGAAAAGGCUAAGAUGGUGUAUGCGGAGAAAGAACAAGUUUGCGAGCAAUCAAUGGUUGGCCAGCAGAUGUUACUGGACGAGUUGCACCAAAGGGAGGAGGUGAUUGGUCACUUGCAGAAGGCCAAGGCUGAAGAGCAGCAGAAAAGCAAAAUGGAGAUGUAUCGGCUUGAGCAUGAACUCUAUGUAAUGGGAAAUCUCUUGGAUGGCUACAGGAAGGCUUUAAAGGAAACACAAAAAGCAUUUGCUGAAUAUAGAGCACGUUGUCCGCAAGCUGAUGAGCCACUCUACAGGGAUGUUCCUGGGUCAGGUGGUCUUGUUUUGAGCGCCAUGGAACUGGAAAAGCAACGCCUAAAGAAAGAAGAAGAGGAAAGGAUGACCCGUCUGCUGCUUGAAAAACAGAUUAAGGACUUUGAAGCUGGGUGGAUUAGCAAAUUUGAAGCACACCCCAAGAUUGCUGAAUUACUGAGUAACAGGUUGCAAGAUGCAGAGUUGGAAGUGAAACUUCUUAUUGAACGGCUUGCAAAACGGAGGAUUCCAGAAAUACCAGAGUCUGCUCCAAAUGAAAAUGAAUGAUGCUUGGCAUCAAGUAUUUUAAUCAUCCAAGUGGAAAUUAUAGGUCUAGCAGUGGUGGUAGCCCUGGCCCUUGACCAUUGAUGCUGAUGAUCCCUUUUUGGCAUUGAAGUUUCUUAUAUAAUUGUCUCCAUAACAAAAGGUAAGAGUUCUGCAAACGUAUGCCAGAAAGCUUGGUGCAGCGUUGGACGGGAUGGGGAGGCAAUAUACAAGGAAGAUCAGUGUUUUUUGCAGUGUUUGUGGCUGACAGCAGCCUCUUACUUAACUGGAAGUCAGUCGGCUUUGUGCUGUAGGUCAUAUGCUAGUUCGAACAGUAUCCACAGUGUACAUAUAUUUGAACUUUUGCACAUCAGGAUAUGCUUCUCAAUGCUAAUGAAUGAUAAACAAGCUGCUUUCCUUA